CGCAAUUCGCCCUUCGGGGUGCAGCAGGCGCGAAAACUUUACAAUGCUGGAAACAGCGAUAAGGGGACCUCGAGUGCCAGGUUACAAAUCUGGCUGUCGUGAUGCCUAAAAAGCAUUGCAUAGCAAGGGCCGGGCAAGACCGGUGCCAGCCGCCGCGGUAACACCGGCGGCUCGAGUGGUAACCGUUAUUAUUGGGUCUAAAGGGUCUGUAGCCGGCCGGAUAAGUCUCUUGGGAAAUCCAGCAGCUCAACUGUUGGGCUUUCAGGAGAUACUGUCUGGCUCGAGGCCGGGAGAGGUGAGAGGUACUUCAGGGGUAGGGGUGAAAUCUUGUAAUCCUUGAAGGACCACCAGUGGCGAAGGCGUCUCACCAGAACGGACCUGACGGCAAGGGACGAAAGCUAGGGGCACGAACCGGAUUAGAUACCCGGGUAGUCCUAGCCGUAAACGAUACUCGCUAGGUGUCGGCCACGGUGCGACCGUUGUCGGUGCCGUAGGGAAGCCGUGAAGCGAGCCACCUGGGAAGUACGGCCGCAAGGCUGAAACUUAAAGGAAUUGGCGGGGGAGCAC
This 567-nucleotide ribosomal RNA is filed under the name uncultured archaeon. Its description in RNAcentral is "bacterial SSU rRNA". It matches the Rfam family "Archaeal small subunit ribosomal RNA", at positions 312 to 879 of the family's 1478-position model. The record is from RNAcentral.